UAUGGUUAUACGGGCCUACUACCCCCCGUACUAGGCAACCAAGGUACCAACCCCUCGAUACGGUUAUACGGGCCUACUACCCCCCGUACUAGGCAACCAAGGUACCAACCCCUCGAUACGGUUAUACGGGCCUACUACCCCCCGUACUAGGCAACCAAGGUACCAACCCCUCGAUACGGUUAUACGGGCCUACUACCCCCCGUACUAGGCAACCAAGGUACCAACCCCUCGAUACGGUUAUACGGGCCUACUACCCCCCGUACUAGGCAACCAAGGUACCAACCCCUCGAUACGGUUACCCGGGCCUACAACCCCCCGAGCUAGGCUUGGUCGACUCACACACUAUAUAGAGAAAAUCAUAUACAUGUAUCCAUUUCAUCAUUAUUUCAAUACUUAUAUAAUCAUCCGACUCAUAGGACGUACAUUGGACCUUCCAUUUCAUAAGAAUUCUAUAAAUGGCAUUUUAUCAAACAUAUGGUGGGCUACUUGUUCAUGUAAA
Molecule: long non-coding RNA, 499 nt
Filed under: Solanum tuberosum (potato)
Lineage: Eukaryota; Viridiplantae; Streptophyta; Magnoliopsida; Solanales; Solanaceae
Description: long non-coding RNA (STUB_LNC001701)
Source: RNAcentral